RNAcentral lists this transfer RNA (90 nucleotides) under bacterium. RNAcentral's name for it is "tRNA-Ser". It matches the Rfam family "tRNA". From Rfam's summary of the family: Transfer RNA (tRNA) molecules are approximately 80 nucleotides in length. Their secondary structure includes four short double-helical elements and three loops (D, anti-codon, and T loops). The record is from RNAcentral.
GGAGAGAUGACCGAGUGGUUGAAGGUAACGGUCUUGAAAACCGUCGUGCCGGAAACGGUACCGAGGGUUCGAAUCCCUCUCUCUCCGCCA